RNAcentral lists this long non-coding RNA (225 nucleotides) under Prunus persica (peach). Its description in RNAcentral is "long non-coding RNA (PPER_LNC007009)". The record is from RNAcentral. Lineage: Eukaryota; Viridiplantae; Streptophyta; Magnoliopsida; Rosales; Rosaceae.
GGAGAAGUCAUUCGGUGAGUUUUGAGUGAAAUCCAAUGGCUAAAACUAUGCAAUACACCAACCACUCCAUUUGCGUAAUGAACUUCGCAUGAACUUGAAUUGUCCAAUUUCAUUGGCCAAUCGAUAUUGGAUUGAGCCCAAAACUUGGUCAACUUCAAAAAAUGGUGGGAGGAGUAAUUUUGAGAGUUUUGAGUGAAAUCCAAUCUCAAAAACCAAGCAAUACAC